Molecule: long non-coding RNA, 2706 nt
Organism: Mustela lutreola (European mink)
Lineage: Eukaryota; Metazoa; Chordata; Mammalia; Carnivora; Mustelidae
Exons: 6
Source: RefSeq, a predicted model, not a curated record
CCCACGGCUCCGGGCUGGAGACCCAGAGGCCUCCUCCGCACCCCGACUCUCCCAGGGGACGCGGGGACACCAGGGUCCUGGGCUUCAAAGGCACUUUGGAGCGCACGGGGCCCGCGGGAUCCUGGGGAUGCCAGGCUCCCAUCCGGCGCCGAGGGGGACGGGCUCGCCCCCUUCCCGGGACGUGAGGUGAACGGCUGAGCCCCCGUCCUAGCUCAGAUGGGUUCCCUCGCCACCUUCCGGACGAAGUGUCAAGUACAAGUUCAAGUUCAGGGCCAGGCCCGGGGGGGCUCCGAGCCUUCCCCGGCUGCCUUUGUUCUUCAGGAUAAUCGCUCCCAAGUCCCCUCCGGGCGGGGCCCGGCAGACGCCCCCGCCCCGCCCCACCGCGCCCCGCGGGAGCCGCCUCCUCCCGCCCGCGCGGCGCCUGUCCCCUGGUCCCGGCGCCCCCGCUCGGGGCCACCGUAGGGUCUGGGGGCUCGGGGCGGGGGGAGGCGCGAGCCGCGUCCGUGGGAGCCUCCCCAGCCCCGCAGUCCCAGCAGCAAAGCAAGCUUGGUCGGACGGACGCUCGCGCUGAGAUUUGUAUCCAUUUCUCAGAGAGAGAGCUAGAGCGAGAGCGAGCCCUUGCAGGGGGUGGCAGAGGGAGAGGAAGAAGCAGACUCCCCGCUGAGCAGGGAGCUGGAUGGGGAGGCGGAGCUCGAGGAUCCCAGGACCCAGAAUCACACCCAGACCUCAAGGCAGACACUCAACCGACUGAGCCAUCCACGUGCUGCCCCAAGCACCUCGUUUUAAUAGCAGGAAACUGAGGUCCAGGAACAGUGGGACUCUCUGCUUCCUCCGCUUCUCCAACCAGCUCUGCAAAGCCACGACUCCUAAUCAGGCCCUUACUGCCACCUCUGCGCAGACCCGGGAAGAGGUAAAGCCCGGAUCCCCCUUAGCCUGAGGUGGCGCGCCACGUCGGAACUGGCCUUGAUCAUGAUAUUCCUGAUUCUGCGGCUGGCCGCACCACGUUUUCUCCAACACCGCCAGGUGAUGGGUCCGCACCGGGGAGAACAGCUAAUUCGAUGAGCCCUGAAAGGUGAUUCAUUCCGUGGCUCCAAAUUCAAUAUGAACAAAAUGCACACAAUAUCGCUGGCGCGGGAGGGAGGUGCUCCGGAGCCACGGAGGAGCAAUUCAACCUUCCCAGCUGUCUCUCUCGUUCCAGGCCGCCUCCCGGCCUGUCCAGACGCCGCCUGCCUCGGAGAACGCAGCCCCACUCCACCGCGCCUGGGGCCUGGCUUGGGGGCACCGGCGAGUCUGCCUCCGAGCCUGACCCUGGUGUGGAAGCCCAGCCUCUGGCUCUUGGAAACUUCUAGAAAAGCAGAUCACGUUUGGCAAGCACCUCUUACGUGUCCAGCCCGUUAGGACUAAGAUCUCAUUCAAUGUUCACAGCAAGGAGAUGUGAAAGAGCCCGGUUUCCAUAGAGGGACAAAGGAGGUGCAUAUUCACCGAAGCGGUGAGUGGGCCUGCCACAAUCUCAAACAAGGACAGGCUGAUGCUGAAGGGAGGCUUGAUUUACUGCCCCCUGGGACGGACAGGCGGGCACGGGACACCUUACUAAACACACAGGCACAGCGCGUGCACACACACACACACACACACACACUCACGUACACACAAUUCCUCCACAGUGGGCGAAGUUCUCUCUGGGUUGAUGGUCUUUAAGCCAUCCUGGCAAAUAAGCACUUAUAUAUGGGCCCACAGAAGUGUUUUCCAAGCCUUUCCUCCCUUUGGGCCAUACACAGACGGACAACGUGAUCUGGGGAUGGUACAGCCUGAGAGCUAGCAGAGGACCUGGAACCUCGUGUGUCUGUACCCCUCACCUUACUUACUUACUUACUUCGGCCACUGCCCCAGCACCCCAGGGCUCAGAGGUGAGGGAAUCUGGCGGGGAUCACAAACCGUAUACACAGAGAGGGCUUAGCAGUAGGCCAGGCCUCUCGCAGGUGCUCAUAGUGUUGAAAGAGUCAACGGGCAGAUUUCUUCCUUAAGGGCUUUGCUGAAGCAUUUCUCCAACGGAUUUGUGCGAUUUGCGCGUGUGUGUGCUGGUGGCGGUUGGGGGCGGGGGAGCAGGCUGAGAAGAGGCACGAGAGAGAGAACAGACUCGAUGAACUAGUGUGCCGUGUGUGUUUGGACAAGAUCGCUGCACAGGGCACUGGGCUGGGGAGGCUGAAAGGCCCACGAACUCCUGGUGAAGCGGAGACGCGUGCAUGGAAAUCGCUAGCGACCCCUCCUUGUUAAGAUCUGGUGGGUAGGCGAUGACACCAGCCCCACGGAAGGCGAUUUGGCAAGAUAUGGGGAAAUGGCAAGUUGCAUAUAAGCUUUCGUCCCACAAUCCCCUUCUGCGAAUUUAUCUCACGGACACACACACUCACACUUGUGAGAAUGGACUCACACACUCGUAGUGACAUUUGCAAAAGUGAAAGGUUGAAACAGAGCAAAUGGACCCUUGAGAGAGGACCUCUUACGUGAUCCCAUGAAGCUGAGUAAAAUGCGGGAGAAAAUAAGAAUACAGAUUUGUAGGGGCGCCUGGGUGGCUCAGUGGGUUAAAGCCUCUGUUUUCGGCUCAGGUCAUGGUCCCAGGGUCCUGGGAUCGAGCCCCGCAUCGGGCUCUCUGCUCAGCAGGGAGCCUGCUUCCCUUCCUCUCUCUCUGCCUGCCUCUCUGCCUGCUUG